GUGCUUGCUUUGGCAGCACAUAUACUAAAAAUUAGAAUGAUACAGGAAGAUUAGCAUGGCCCCUGUGCA
Molecule: small nuclear RNA, 69 nt
Filed under: Mesocricetus auratus (golden hamster)
Lineage: Eukaryota; Metazoa; Chordata; Mammalia; Rodentia; Cricetidae
Source: RNAcentral